This 849-nucleotide ribosomal RNA is filed under the name Cadophora luteo-olivacea. RNAcentral's name for it is "partial large subunit ribosomal RNA". It matches the Rfam family "Eukaryotic large subunit ribosomal RNA", at positions 71 to 938 of the family's 3401-position model. Lineage: Eukaryota; Fungi; Ascomycota; Leotiomycetes; Helotiales; Ploettnerulaceae. The record is from RNAcentral.
GGGAUUACCUCAGUAACGGCGAGUGAAGCGGUAACAGCUCAAAUUUGAAAGCUAGCUCUUUUAGGGUUCGCAUUGUAAUUUGUAGAAGAUGCUUCGGGUGUGGCCCCGGUCUAAGUUCCUUGGAACAGGACGUCAUAGAGGGUGAGAAUCCCGUAUGUGACUGGGUGCUUUCGCUCAUGUGAAGCUCUUUCGACGAGUCGAGUUGUUUGGGAAUGCAGCUCAAAAUGGGUGGUAAAUUUCAUCUAAAGCUAAAUAUUGGCCAGAGACCGAUAGCGCACAAGUAGAGUGAUCGAAAGAUGAAAAGCACUUUGGAAAGAGAGUUAAACAGUACGUGAAAUUGUUGAAAGGGAAGCGCUUGCAACCAGACUUGCGCGCUGAUGAUCAUCCGGGCUUCUGCCCGGUGCACUCGUCUGCGCUCAGGCCAGCAUCGGUUUCGGUGGUGGGAUAAAGGCCUUGGGAAUGUAGCUCCUCUCGGGGAGUGUUAUAGCCCUCGGUGCAAUGCCGCCUACCGGGACCGAGGACCGCGCUUCGGCUAGGAUGCUGGCGUAAUGGUUGUAAGCGACCCGUCUUGAAACACGGACCAAGGAGUCUAACAUCUAUGCGAGUGUUUGGGUGUCAAACCCAUACGCGUAAUGAAAGUGAACGGAGGUGAGAACCCUUAAGGGUGCAUCAUCGACCGAUCCUGAUGUCUUCGGAUGGAUUUGAGUAAGAGCAUAGCUGUUGGGACCCGAAAGAUGGUGAACUAUGCGUGAAUAGGGUGAAGCCAGAGGAAACUCUGGUGGAGGCUCGCAGCGGUUCUGACGUGCAAAUCGAUCGUCAAAUUUGCGUAUAGGGCGAAAGACUAAUCGA